UACGUAGGGUGCGAGCGUUGUCCGGAAUUAUUGGGCGUAAAGGGCUCGUAGGCGGUUUGUCGCGUCGGGAGUGAAAACUCAGGGCUUAACCCUGAGCCUGCUUCCGAUACGGGCAGACUAGAGGUAUGCAGGGGAGAACGGAAUUCCUGGUGUAGCGGUGAAAUGCGCAGAUAUCAGGAGGAACACCAGCGGCGAAGGCGGCGCUCUGGGCCGGUACUGACACUGAGGAGCGAAAGCGUGGGUAGCAAACAGG
This 253-nucleotide ribosomal RNA is filed under the name uncultured bacterium. RNAcentral describes it as "partial 16S ribosomal RNA". It matches the Rfam family "Bacterial small subunit ribosomal RNA", at positions 524 to 776 of the family's 1533-position model. The record is from RNAcentral.